This 71-nucleotide transfer RNA is filed under the name Teleaulax amphioxeia. Its description in RNAcentral is "tRNA-Gly". It matches the Rfam family "tRNA". From Rfam's summary of the family: Transfer RNA (tRNA) molecules are approximately 80 nucleotides in length. Their secondary structure includes four short double-helical elements and three loops (D, anti-codon, and T loops). The record is from RNAcentral. Lineage: Eukaryota; Cryptophyceae; Pyrenomonadales; Geminigeraceae.
GCGAGUAUAAAUUAAUGGUAAAUUGGUUGCCUUCCAAGCAAUUUAUAUGAGUUCAAGUCUCAUUACUCGCU